GUAGGGAAUAUUGAACAAUGGGGGGAACCCUGAUCCAGCCAUGCCGCGUGGAGGAAGACUGCCCUCUGGGUUGUAAACUCCUUUUAUAUGGGAAGAACCGUCCUCAUUAAUGAGUGACCUGACGGUACCAUAGGAAUAAGCACCGGCUAACUCCGUGCCAGCAGCCGCGGUAAUACGGAGGGUGCAAGCGUUAUCCGGAUUCACUGGGUUUAAAGGGUGCGUAGGCGGAUAAAUAAGUCAGUGGUGAAAUCAACGGGCUCAACCUGUUAACUGCCAUGGAUACUGUGUAUCUUGAAUAUGAGAGAGGUAGGCGGAAUGUUGCAUGUAGCGGUGAAAUGCUUAGAUAUGCUACGGAACACCGAUUGCGAAGGCAGCUUACUAUUUCGUAAUUGACGCUGAGGCACGAAAGCGUGGGUAGCGAACAGGAUUAGAAACCCGGGUAGUCC
This 446-nucleotide ribosomal RNA is filed under the name uncultured bacterium. RNAcentral's name for it is "partial 16S ribosomal RNA". It matches the Rfam family "Bacterial small subunit ribosomal RNA", at positions 354 to 796 of the family's 1533-position model. The record is from RNAcentral.